This 484-nucleotide ribosomal RNA is filed under the name uncultured bacterium. RNAcentral describes it as "partial 16S ribosomal RNA". It matches the Rfam family "Bacterial small subunit ribosomal RNA", at positions 30 to 507 of the family's 1533-position model. The record is from RNAcentral.
AUUGAACGCUGGCGGCAUGCCUUACACAUGCAAGUCGAACGGCAGCACGGACUUCGGUCUGGUGGCGAGUGGCGAACGGGUGAGUAAUGUAUCGGAACGUACCUUUCAGUGGGGGAUAACGUAGCGAAAGUUACGCUAAUACCGCAUAUUCUGUGAGCAGGAAAGCAGGGGAUCGAAAGACCUUGCGCUGAUUGAGCGGCCGAUAUCAGAUUAGCUAGUUGGUGGGGUAAAGGCCUACCAAGGCGACGAUCUGUAGCGGGUCUGAGAGGAUGAUCCGCCACACUGGAACUGAGACACGGUCCAGACUCCUACGGGAGGCAGCAGUGGGGAAUUUUGGACAAUGGGGGCAACCCUGAUACAGCCAUGCCGCGUGAGUGAAGAAGGCCUUCGGGUUGUAAAGCUCUUUCGGCCGGGAAGAAAUCUCAUAGGCUAAUACCCUGUGUGGAUGACGGUACCGGAAUAAGAAGCACCGGCUAACUACGUG